RNAcentral lists this small RNA (94 nucleotides) under insect gut metagenome. RNAcentral's name for it is "Gammaprotebacteria rimP leader". It matches the Rfam family "Gammaprotebacteria rimP leader". The record is from RNAcentral.
UAUGAUAAACAGGGUCCAGGUUGCAAAAGCCCCGUAUAACGGGGUUUUUUGUUGGCGAAAUAUGAGAUUUACUUGGGCUUCAUGCCCUUUUUUU